CGAGCGAACAGACGAGGAGCUUGCUCCUCUGACGUUAGCGGCGGACGGGUGAGUAACACGUGGAUAACCUACCUAUAAGACUGGGAUAACUUCGGGAAACCGGAGCUAAUACCGGAUAAUAUAUUGAACCGCAUGGUUCAAUAGUGAAAGACGGUUUUGCUGUCACUUAUAGAUGGAUCCGCGCCGCAUUAGCUAGUUGGUAAGGUAACGGCUUACCAAGGCAACGAUGCGUAGCCGACCUGAGAGGGUGAUCGGCCACACUGGAACUGAGACACGGUCCAGACUCCUACGGGAGGCAGCAGUAGGGAAUCUUCCGCAAUGGGCGAAAGCUUGACGGAGCAACGCCGCGUGAGUGAUGAAGGUCUUCGGAUCGUAAAACUCUGUUAUUAGGGAAGAACAAAUGUGUAAGUAACUAUGCACGUCUUGACGGUACCUAAUCAGAAAGCCACGGCUAACUACGUGCCAGCAGCCGCGGUAAUACGUAGGUGGCAAGCGUUAUCCGGAAUUAUUGGGCGUAAAGCGCGCGUAGGCGGUUUUUUAAGUCUGAUGUGAAAGCCCACGGCUCAACCGUGGAGGGUCAUUGGAAACUGGAAAACUUGAGUGCAGAAGAGGAAAGUGGAAUUCCAUGUGUAGCGGUGAAAUGCGCAGAGAUAUGGAGGAACACCAGUGGCGAAGGCGACUUUCUGGUCUGUAACUGACGCUGAUGUGCGAAAGCGUGGGGAUCAAACAGGAUUAGAUACCCUGGUAGUCCACGCCGUAAACGAUGAGUGCUAAGUGUUAGGGGGUUUCCGCCCCUUAGUGCUGCAGCUAACGCAUUAAGCACUCCGCCUGGGGAGUACGACCGCAAGGUUGAAACUCAAAGGAAUUGACGGGGACCCGCACAAGCGGUGGAGCAUGUGGUUUAAUUCGAAGCAACGCGAAGAACCUUACCAAAUCUUGACAUCCUCUGACCCCUCUAGAGAUAGAGGUUUCCCCUUCGGGGGACAGAGUGACAGGUGGUGCAUGGUUGUCGUCAGCUCGUGUCGUGAGAUGUUGGGUUAAGUCCCGCAACGAGCGCAACCCUUAAGCUUAGUUGCCAUCAUUAAGUUGGGCACUCUAAGUUGACUGCCGGUGACAAACCGGAGGAAGGUGGGGAUGACGUCAAAUCAUCAUGCCCCUUAUGAUUUGGGCUACACACGUGCUACAAUGGACAAUACAAAGGGCAGCGAAACCGCGAGGUCAAGCAAAUCCCAUAAAGUUGUUCUCAGUUCGGAUUGUAGUCUGCAACUCGACUAUAUGAAGCUGGAAUCGCUAGUAAUCGUAGAUCAGCAUGCUACGGUGAAUACGUUCCCGGGUCU
This 1337-nucleotide ribosomal RNA is filed under the name uncultured bacterium. Its description in RNAcentral is "bacterial SSU rRNA". It matches the Rfam family "Bacterial small subunit ribosomal RNA", at positions 63 to 1381 of the family's 1533-position model. The record is from RNAcentral.